Molecule: RNA transcript, 4299 nt
Organism: Balaenoptera ricei (Rice's whale)
Lineage: Eukaryota; Metazoa; Chordata; Mammalia; Artiodactyla; Balaenopteridae
Gene: APCDD1L
Gene name: APC down-regulated 1 like
Exons: 8
Source: RefSeq, a predicted model, not a curated record
ACUCCACGCUGUUUGCCCAGAUGCUCUUUGGAGCCGAGACGAGCUAAUCACAGGGAGCGGCUGUGGGCUGCGGGGCGCCCCAGGUCGGCCACAUUCACUGCGCUCCUGCCCUCGCCAGCCUCCAAGUUGACGCAACUUUUCCAAGAGUAUCUGUAAGGCCUGAAUAGAAGCCUUGGGGGUCUGAGGGCCCAGAGGGCGUACAGGAGCUUCCCCUGACCCCCUCGCCCUUCUAGGAAACAGCCUGGAUAGGGGUGCGCUUUGGCUGGAGGAGCGCACCGCACCGUCUGACUUGUCCCGGACAAGAGUUUGAGGGAGGCCUCCCUGCUCGCUGCAAAGACCUGGCGGGGAGGCAAGAACCCGGGCACGGAGGGGGGUCGACUGGGGGUUCUGAAUGGCAGGAGGAGCUGCGCCAGAGGGCUGGGCGCGAGGCGCUGCAGUGCGCGCAACGCCCGAGGCUGUCUCCACCUCUUCUGGCAGCUUGGACCUAUGAGUGCGCAGCUCGACUUACAACCAUCAACAGCCCGGGAGGUGAGCGCGUGCGAGCGCCGAGGGGGGCGCAGGACCCUCGCCACUUCCUCGCGGGACCCCAGCGGGCUGCCGGAGUCCGCUGCCACCGGACGGCCGCGCGCCCACGCCUCCUCUCCCUGGGGGCCGUCCUGCCACCCCGACGGGAUGCCCGCAGCCAUGCUCCCCUGCGCUUGCGUCCUGAUGCUUUUGGGAGGACACCAGUCACUGGAUCUGGGCCCACCCUCAGCCAGGAUGACCUCAUUGAUCGCCUCUGGGAAAACCCGAUUUCCAAUACCACAUUCACAGAACCCUUAUUUCCACUGGGCGCGUGGUCGUGCAGAUGGCGCAGCCGUCUCCAGCCUCCCUGGCAGCUGGUGUGGCCACGGCUUGGGAGGAGAAGUGAUGUUGCAAAAGGAGCCAUGGCUAAGCCGUCAGGCCAGAGCCGAUGGCCUGGCUCGAAGCCCGGCUCUGUCACCGGGGGCAGCCUGGGCCCCAGGCCAGCUAAGCCCGGCUCGCCCAGCCCGUGGCUCUACCCAUCAGAGGCAGCGGAUGCUAACACCAUCUCCUGGGGUCAUUGCAACGCCCACUCUGCAGAGGCAGCCGGGAUGGCAGGGGGUAGCCACCUGCGCUGGGGACCACACUGCCAGCAGCUCCUGCCCAACAGAGCGCCCGUCACCGCACUGCUGCCCCCACGCCUGGACGGGCCCUGGAUCUCCACUGGCUGCGAGGUGCGCCCGGGACCCGAGUUCCUCACCCGCUCCUACACCUUCUACCCCAACCGCCUCUUCCGCGCCUACCACUUCUACUACAGGGACCCCUCGUGCCGGGAGCCCGCCCACUCACUGCUCAUCAAGGGCAAGGUGCGCCUGCGCCGCGCCUCCUGGGUCACCCGGGGCGCCACCGAGGCCGACUACUACCUGCACAAGGUGGGCGUCGUCUUCCACAGCCGCCGCGCCCUGCUCGACGUGGCCGGGCGCCUGGACCAGAGCCCGGCCGGCCGGGCCUGUGCGCGCCGCCUGCCCGCCGCCCGGGCCUGGCUGCCGGGGGCCCUGUACGAGCUGCUGGGCGCCGGGGCUGAGCGGGACUGCGCGGCCGCCCUGGGCUUCACCAUGCACGAGCUCAGCCUGGUCCGCGUGCAGCGCCGCCUGCAGCCCGAGCCCCGGGCCGCGCCCCGGCUGGUGGAGGAGCUCUACCUGGGGGACAUCCACACCGACCGGGCCGAGCGGCGGCACUACCGGCCCACCGGCUACCAGCGCCCGCUGCAGAGCGCCCUGCACCACGCCCGCCCCUGCCCGGCCUGCAGCCUCAUCGCCCGCUCCGACGAGCACCACCCGCCCGUGCUGCCCCGCCAGGCGGCCCUGCCCCUGCGCCUGGGCGGCCGCUGGGUCAGCCCCGGGUGCGAGGUGCGCCCCGCCGUGCUCUUCCUCACCAGGUUCUUCACCUUCCACGCGCACAACCGCUCCUGGGAAGGGUAUUACCACCACUUCUCGGACCCCACCUGCCGGCAGCCCACCUUCACCGUUUACGCCGCCGGCCGCUACACCAAGGGCACGCCGUCGGCCAAGGUUCGUGGCGGCACCGAGCUGGUGUUCCAGGUCACGCGGGCCCGCGUCACCCCCAUGGACCGGGUCACCACGGCCAUGCUCAACUUCUCCGAGCCGAGCAGCUGUGGCGGCCCGGGGGCCUGGUACCUGGGAGCCGAGCGGGACGUCACGGCCACCAACGGGUGCCUGCCGCUGGGCAUCAGGCUGCCCCACGUGGAGUACGAGCUCUUCAGGAUGGAGCAGGACCCCCUCGGGCAAAGCCUGCUCUUCAUCGGACAGAGGCCCACUGACGGCUCCAGUCCCGACACCCCGGAGAAGAGGCCCACGUCCUACCAAGCCCCCCUGGUGCUCUGUGACAGGGUGGCCUGGGGCUUCUCCAGGCCUCUGCUGCAGACGCCCGUCGGCGGUGGGGGGCUGGGUCCCCCAGCGGCCCCUCUCCCCUUCCUGCUCCUGGUUCUCGGGCUGGCCUUCCUCCAGUGGCUAUGAAAUUGGUCUCUGACUUCCAGACGGUGCCUCAGGACACUCGUCCGACCCCGUGGACUCCCUGCUGGCACAGACCUCUCCACCCGUGACUGCCCUGGACAGUUACACAGCCCGGCCUGCGUCCUAAGUGGCUCAGCAGCUGAGUUUUGACAGCACCUGCAGAGUCUACACCGUGGCCAGCAACUCGAAUCAUGACCACAAACUCGGGCAUCACAGCAACGUCAACGGCUCCGAGUUCCUAAGUGCUCGUGACCACAAACUCGGGCAUCACAGCAACGUCAACGGCUCCGAGUUCCUAAGUGCUCGCUCCCGACUCUCCUGGGCAGCGCGCGGGCCGGCGCCGGGGAGUGGACCUCACCCGUCUCCCUGCCCGACGGCACCCCGGUUCCCUCCCUGAGCCCCUGAGAUUCAGUGAAAUGGAAACACGGUUCUGCACGUGCGGGCUGCCACUGCUCUGCUGAGUCUGUGGGUUGUUGUUUAAAGAUUAUUAAUUCGGAUUUAGCAAUACAAACUGAAACCCAAGCCAUGAAUUAAAGAUGCUGCUUCGGGCUUUCAGCACGUCUCAGCUCGCUGGCAGGGGGCUCGUCUCUUUGGGGGCAACUUGGCUUUCUUGAGUCGUGACUGCUGGCGUUUUGUCUGCGCCUGCCUAUGCUCCUGUGAGUCAGGCCUCGAGCUGUCAACACCGCGAGCGGGUAAAUCCAGCCCUCCCGGGGCCAGCAAGCAAAUAAAGGCGGCCCCAUCCACACCAAACCCCAGCGUGUGGGGCUGGCGGCCGGGGUCAGGUCUUUGGAGGAAAGCAGCGUUUCCAGCCUUUGGAAAGUAAUUAAUACUAAUGACAGCGGUGACACUAAUGUGCUCUGUAAUUAGCCCUGCACAGGCGUCCUCUGUUUUCAAGAUUCCCUGUGCUUGGCUGACAAGGAGGGAGAGAAACCUCCGACGCGUCUUUGGGACCAUCCUAGGGUCAACGGGCUACCCGGCCACAUGUGGAGGAGGAGGGAGAAGAGGGCCACACCUCACCCAGCCCGGCUCGCUGCAGUGCUGAUGUGCUGACGUUCCCUGCUCAGAGGGGGCUGUCACCAAGCCUCCCUCAUCUACAGCACGAGUUCCUCGACAGCCAGCCCUUGUCUGCCUGGAUCCCCGCUGUGCCCCCGUGUGUGGAACGGAGCCUGGCACAGAGUAGGGGCUCAAUAAACACCGAUUACUUGAAGAAAUGCUCUGAGACCUGGCUGGAAGUACUCUGAAUUCAAGCAUCAAGAUGAUAGCCACAUACUUUAAAUAGCAGCUUGGAAUUUUGAUUUUUUUUUUUUUUUUUAAUAAGAUGGGCAGAGCACACCUCUGUGAUCUUGAGGAUACCUGUUUUCUGCUAGCCAGGCUCUCUCUAGGAAGGACAUUAGGGACUGCUGUCCCAGCAUAGGGGGAAACACGGCCUGACACGGGGUCCCCCGAGAGUCCACCUCAGGUUUCUCACACUUAACAGAGGUCAGGGAGACUGGGGCCCCUCAGCCUCACAGACACACCUAAGACUCUCCUUCUCGCUGCUUCAGUUUCCCCACCAGCAAAAUGAGUUGAAACCUGGUAAUUCCUGGAGCCACCCAGCCUCAACACCCAGAAAGCCCAUAGCUGGCAAGUGAAUCCAGAGGAAUCAAUGAUAUAUAUUCUAGGAGAAAUGGCUUUAAACCAGGAAACUCUCAGUGAGGAUGGGUCUUUUCUCAGUGAUGUCAUAUUUAUUUCCUAAGGGCUAUUAAUUAACAACUUACUACUCUUC